GGGGGCAUUGGCAUUUUGAUGGCAUGGGUCAGGUAUUUCUGUGGAACGGCCCUCAGUCUGGGUUUGUCUGGCAUGUCUUCAUCAUGAGGUAGAAGUUCUACGUGCCGGCUAGGAGAACCACAAACAGGAUGUCAUGCCCUCCUCCGUGGAUGGUGUCCAGAGGCCUGUGAUGUGACCGCAUCUGUGAUGGAAUCUCCCGUGACUUCCCUGAAAUUGCCCUGACUUCAGUCCUCGACUCCACAGGCCAUAAACACCAUAGAACACCGGGGAACUUACCCAUCCUACUUGCUAGCUACUGUGGCCUGUCCGCAAAUAAGAGCUAUUAAAGGCAAAACUUGGCCCAUGUGGGCCUCUUCCAAGUUUUCUCUCAAGAAAUCCCGACUAAAGUGUUCAUUCACUCUCA
This is a non-coding RNA of Leptonychotes weddellii (Weddell seal), 403 nucleotides long. NCBI's taxonomy places the organism in Eukaryota, Metazoa, Chordata, Mammalia, Carnivora, Phocidae. The record is from RefSeq and is a predicted model, not a curated record.